CGCAAUUACUGAUAAAGAUGGCCUCCUCCUCCUCAAAAUGUAGGCUAAACGCGCAAGGAAUUGACGAACAACCUCUACUGCACAUUGAAAGACCACAGAUUCAACGUCUUUAUCGACGAGAACGAAUUGACCAGAGGCGAAAUUAUCACACAAGCACUGAAGCAAGCAGUCAAAGACUCUAGGCUUGCUGCUGUCAUCUUCUCAAGCGGGUAUGCCGAGUCGAGAUGGUGUCUUGAUGAGCUGGUCGAGAUCUUGGCCUGCAGAAGAAUAAUGGGGCAAAUGGUUUUGCCAAUUUUCUAUGACAUCGAUCCCUCCGAUGUCAGGCAUCAGAGGGGUGCUUUUGAGGAAGCAUUCCGGGAACAUCAAAAGCGCUCCCCUGAAAUGGUGCAGACCUGGAAAGAUGCUCUUAAUGAAGCUGCAGAGUUGGGCGGCGAGGAUUUUAGUGCGACUGAUGGGUGAUUACUUACUUCCUUUUCCUUUUUAAUUCCUUAAUUAUAAAAUUCAAUUGCCAACCUGACAAUUCUUCAUAUGGAAGGGUGCACCAAUCUCACUGCUGCUUUUAAGGAAUCAAUCCAAAGGGGAUGGAGUGCGAGCGGAAAUGGUGCCCUUUUUCUCCCUGGAAAUGAACUUCCAUCAUGGUUUACGCUUGUCGACCCUCAGGGUGAAAUAGAUGUGCCACAAAGUUUUGGCUGUGAUUUAAAAGCAUUGACUGUGUGCAUCAUUUAUUCUUCAGACAACUCCCAAUCUGGUGUAUCUCUUCACAUUCGUGUUGCAAAUUUUACUCAGAACGCGGAAUUUCUCAUCUCUCCAAUGUGUGUCAAAGUAAUAAAAUCCCAGAUUAUCUUUGGCUGGGACAUUUUUCAAACAUUAAGCUCAAUGUCAAAGGCGGAGACAAGAUAUAUGUUGGUGCAUACUUUGUAGAACCAGCUGCUACUGAUGAUAUUCAUUUCAGGAAGAUUAAAAUAGGGAUCAAUCUGGAAAAGGAAAAAUUAAUCCAUGAAUAUGCACUCGACUGUCAAUCUAUGCCAUAUUCAAGUGAGUACAAAGAGGACGGCAAUCAUAAGACAGGACACAGUGAUGACUCGUCCCAUGAGAAUCAAUCCUGCAGAAGACUGAGGUCCGAUCCAGUGUUGAAAGAAAUGCAGAAGAAGAAACUGAUGAAAUCAUGCAAGAAGGAAGCAGCGUGGGCUAACAGAAGAAGAAAAAGGGAAUUGAAGCAGUUCAAGGACUCACUUUAGAUUUGCAAGAGUCGGAUGAGGCUAGGCUUCAGUACAGAAGCAUUUAGAAACAUGCAGAGUCAGAGAUUGCUCAAACUCAAUUACGUCAAGCUCACUGGCAGUUACAACAAUUAAUCAUUUCAGCAUACCUCACCCCACGCUCAUAACAUAUUUCAUAGCCCUUGGGAACCUGAGUUACGUUGUCUGGGAUACAUUCCAGGUAGGGGCAAUAGUGAUGCCAGUGGCCAAACACAUUGCAAAGUUCACAAGGGUGUCUGAAUGAGAAUUGGAAGGGUUUCCAAGCUAUGACUGCCUAGUUUGUAUUCUUCUCUUCUGGUUUUGGUGUUAAUGUAGUAGUAUUCUCCUCAUCAAGUUGGUGUUGAUAUAGCAGUUCCAUCUAUCACUUUAUUAUGAAAGACCAAAUAGGCCCGUUCUGCCAUAAGUACCUCCCUAUUCCGCUCAGUGGGGUUCGGCAAUGGGUUUGAAUGAUUGGAAAACUUCCUUUUCUUGAUCUUGUUAUUCCAUUGUGUAUUAAAUAACUUUAUGUUGUAAACUCAAGUGUUGAUUAUGUAAAAUUUUGUUAUAA
Pyrus x bretschneideri (Chinese white pear) is the source of this 1803-nucleotide long non-coding RNA. RefSeq lists it as uncharacterized. Lineage: Eukaryota; Viridiplantae; Streptophyta; Magnoliopsida; Rosales; Rosaceae. The transcript is spliced from 3 exons. The record is from RefSeq and is a predicted model, not a curated record.